This 505-nucleotide ribosomal RNA is filed under the name uncultured bacterium. Its description in RNAcentral is "partial 16S ribosomal RNA". It matches the Rfam family "Bacterial small subunit ribosomal RNA", at positions 28 to 507 of the family's 1533-position model. The record is from RNAcentral.
GACGAACGCUGGCGGCGUGCCUAAUACAUGCAAGUAGAACGCACAGUUUAUACCGUAGCUUGCUACACCAUAAACUGUGAGUUGCGAACGGGUGAGUAACGCGUAGGUAACCUGCCUGGUAGCGGGGGAUAACUAUUGGAAACGAUAGCUAAUACCGCAUAAUAUUGAUUAUUGCAUGAUAAUUGAUUGAAAGAUGCUAUUGCAUCACUACCAGAUGGACCUGCGUUGUAUUAGCUAGUAGGUGAGGUAACGGCUCACCUAGGCGACGAUACAUAGCCGACCUGAGAGGGUGAGCGGCCACACUGGGACUGAGACACGGCCCAGACUCCUACGGGAGGCAGCAGUAGGGAUUCUUCGGCAAUGGACGAAAGUCUGACCGAGCAACGCCGCGUGAGUGAAGAAGGUUUUCGGAUCGUAAAGCUCGGUUGUAAGAGAAGAACGGGUGUGAGAGUGGAAAGUUCACACUGUGACGGUAUCUUACCAGAAAGGGACGGCUAACUACGUG